This 400-nucleotide unclassified non-coding RNA is filed under the name soil metagenome. RNAcentral's name for it is "partial contains 5.8S ribosomal RNA, internal transcribed spacer 2, and large subunit ribosomal RNA". The stretch from base 1 to 122 matches the Rfam family "5.8S ribosomal RNA", at positions 35 to 154 of the family's 154-position model. The record is from RNAcentral.
GAUGAAGAACGCAGCGAAAUGCGAUACUUGGUGUGAAUUGCAGAAUCCCGUGAACCAUCGAGUCUUUGAACGCAAGUUGCGACUCAAGCCAUUAGGUUGAGGGCACGUCUGCCUGGGCGUCACAUAUCGUUGCCUGAUGCCAGUUUCCUCGUGAUGGGUGACUGUGCAGGGCGAAUGAUGGCUUCCCGUGAGCAUUGUUGCCUCAUGGUUGGUUGAAAAUUGAGUCCUUGGUAGGGAGCGCCGUGAUAGAUGGUGGUUGAGUGACGAACGAGACCCAAUCAUGUGAGACCCCUAUCGAAUUUGGCCUUCAUGACCCACAUGCGUCUUUGGAACGCUCAUGACGAGACCUCAGGUCAGGCGGGGCUACCCGCUGAGUUUAAGCAUAUCAAUAAGCGGAGGA